Molecule: unclassified non-coding RNA, 469 nt
Filed under: Hevea brasiliensis (rubber tree)
Lineage: Eukaryota; Viridiplantae; Streptophyta; Magnoliopsida; Malpighiales; Euphorbiaceae
Source: RNAcentral
UGUGUGACAAAUGCACACCUGCAAUAGCUAUAAUUCCAACACAAACUUGCAAUUAAUGAUUAAUAUCUAACAUCUGAAAUCAGGAACUUUAAGCAAGUAUGAAAAAUAUGCUUAAGCCUUAACCACAAAGUCAAGAUACAAAACGCAUUAUCUAAAUGGACAUGCUAAAGAAAGGACAAGUCGUUGCCACAAGAAUUGGUAUAAAAUCAUUUUUACAGAGUUCACAAAAUAAAAGGUUUCAAAUUCCCAAUAUCUUUUGUGACAAUAACAUCCAUUUCCUCCCAUUCAGACUUCUAUAAAAUCAUGCAAACACCAGUAUCAUGAACCUAUAUCAAUUGCUCAACAAAGAUUCGUACACAAGUAGAAGUAAAAGCAUUUACCAGUGUGCCUAAUGUACAAGGGCAACCAAUAUAAAAAAGAAUAAGCCAGAAGCUUCGAAAAGAAAAGGCAGAAAGCAAAUGGCGCCACU